CCUACGGGUGUCAGCAGUGGGGAAUAUUGGACAAUGGGCGAAAGCCUGAUCCAGCCAUGCCGCGUGUGUGAAGAAGGCCUUCGGGUUGUAAAGCACUUUCAGUGGGGAAGAAAGCCUUGGGGCUAAUACCCUCGAGGAAGGACAUCACCCACAGAAGAAGCACCGGCUAACCCCGUGCCAGCAGCCGCGGUAAUACGGGAGGGUGCGAGCGUUAAUCGGAAUUACUGGGCGUAAAGCGCGCGUAGGCGGUCUGAUAAGCCGGUUGUGAAAGCCCCGGGCUCAACCUGGGAACGGCAUCCGGAACUGUCAGGCUAGAGUGCAGGAGAGGAAGGUAGAAUUCCCGGUGUAGCGGUGAAAUGCGUAGAGAUCGGGAGGAAUACCAGUGGCGAAGGCGGCCUUCUGGACUGACACUGACGCUGAGGUGCGAAAGCGUGGGUAGCAAACAGGAUUAGAUACCCCUGUAGUC
This 466-nucleotide ribosomal RNA is filed under the name Vreelandella stevensii. RNAcentral's name for it is "partial 16S ribosomal RNA". It matches the Rfam family "Bacterial small subunit ribosomal RNA", at positions 338 to 795 of the family's 1533-position model. The record is from RNAcentral. Lineage: Bacteria; Pseudomonadati; Pseudomonadota; Gammaproteobacteria; Oceanospirillales; Halomonadaceae.